RNAcentral lists this transfer RNA (67 nucleotides) under Marmota monax (woodchuck). Its description in RNAcentral is "tRNA.Thr". The record is from RNAcentral. Lineage: Eukaryota; Metazoa; Chordata; Mammalia; Rodentia; Sciuridae.
GGUUGUGGCUCCGUGGUAGAGCACUUGCCUAGUGCGUGUAAGGCCCUGGGUUCAAUCCUCAGCACCA